This 253-nucleotide ribosomal RNA is filed under the name uncultured bacterium. RNAcentral describes it as "partial 16S ribosomal RNA". It matches the Rfam family "Bacterial small subunit ribosomal RNA", at positions 524 to 776 of the family's 1533-position model. The record is from RNAcentral.
GACGUAGGGCGCGAGCGUUGUCCGGAUUUAUUGGGCGUAAAGAGCUCGUAGACGGCUUGUCGCGUCGUCCGUGAAAACCCACAGCUCAACUGUGGGCUUGCGGUCGAUACGGGCAGGCUAGAGUUCGGUAGGGGAGACUGGAAUUCCUGGUGUAGCGGUGAAAUGCGCAGAUAUCAGGAGGAACACCGGUGGCGAAGGCGGGUCUCUGGGCCGAUACUGACGCUGAGGAGCGAAAGCGUGGGGAGCGAACAGG